RNAcentral lists this ribosomal RNA (216 nucleotides) under Glomeromycotina sp. RNAcentral describes it as "partial small subunit ribosomal RNA". The stretch from base 40 to 216 matches the Rfam family "Eukaryotic small subunit ribosomal RNA", at positions 686 to 864 of the family's 1831-position model. Lineage: Eukaryota; Fungi; Glomeromycota. The record is from RNAcentral.
GGGUCAGUAGGUUGGUCGUGCCACCGGUACGUACUGGUCUCACUGAUUCCUCCUUCCUGAAGAACCGUAAUGCCAUUAAUUUGGUGUUGCGGGGAAACAGGACUGUUACUUGGAAAAAAUUAGAGGGUUUAAAGCAAGCUAACGCUUGAAUACAUUAGCAUGGAAUAAUGAAAUAGGACGAUCGAUCCUAUUUUGUUGGUUUCUAGGAUUGACGUA